UAUAACUUGCAUAUAAUGCAAUAAAAUUGGAACGAUACAGAGAAGAUUAGCGUGGCCCUUGCGCAAGGAUGACACGCAAAAAUCGAGAAAUGGUCCAAAUUAUU
Non-coding RNA from Cicer arietinum (chickpea), 104 nucleotides. The record is from Rfam. Lineage: Eukaryota; Viridiplantae; Streptophyta; Magnoliopsida; Fabales; Fabaceae.